This 460-nucleotide ribosomal RNA is filed under the name uncultured bacterium. RNAcentral describes it as "partial 16S ribosomal RNA". It matches the Rfam family "Bacterial small subunit ribosomal RNA", at positions 338 to 795 of the family's 1533-position model. The record is from RNAcentral.
GCUACGGGUGGCAGCAGUGAGGAAUAUUGGUCAAUGGGCGCGAGCCUGAACCAGCCAAGUAGCGUGAAGGAUGACUGCCCUACGGGUUGUAAACUUCUUUUAUAAAGGAAUAAAGUGAGGCACGUGUGCCUUUUUGUAUGUACUUUAUGAAUAAGGAUCGGCUAACUCCGUGCCAGCAGCCGCGGUAAUACGGAGGAUCCGAGCUUUAUCUGGAUUUAUUGGGUUGAACGGUAGCGGAGGUGGGUUGUUAAGUCAGUUGUGAAAGUUUUGGGCUCAACCGUAAAAUUGCAAUUGAGCCUGGCAGCCUUGAGUACAGUUGAGGUAGGCGGAAUUCGUGGUGUAGCCGUGAAAUGCUUAGAUAUCACGAAGAACUCCGAUUGCGAAGGCAGCCUACUAAACUGCCACUGACAUUGAUGCUCGAAAGUGUGGGUAUCAAACAGGAUUAGAUACCCCGGUAGUC